This 333-nucleotide long non-coding RNA is filed under the name Carica papaya (papaya). RNAcentral describes it as "long non-coding RNA (CPAP_LNC004416)". Lineage: Eukaryota; Viridiplantae; Streptophyta; Magnoliopsida; Brassicales; Caricaceae. The record is from RNAcentral.
AAAACAUGAAAGAACAAACUAACUAAAAGAUAUACUCGAAAUAAGAACUAUAAAUAUAACUAUGGAGUCUUUAGGCGUCCCCUUCGCCGUCUUCCUGCGGAACGGGCUCGGGAACAAUGUCUUCCUGAUCUGAAAUAGUUAAAUAAGGAAUGAGCUACACCAGCCCAGUAAAGACAUCACACUAUCUCACCGCCACGGGAGUAAAGGUGGGUAUAAAACAAAAUGACCAAUAGAGCAUAAUUUAUAACAAGUUCUUUUAUCAAUAAUAAAAUCCUUUACUGUCCACUUACCUCAGCGAGAUCCAUGAAAACAACAUCUGAAAAUAAUAACCUU